RNAcentral lists this small RNA (96 nucleotides) under Salmonella enterica. RNAcentral's name for it is "partial RtT sRNA". It matches the Rfam family "RtT RNA", at positions 1 to 95 of the family's 130-position model. Rfam says of the family: This family represents a bacterial cis-regulatory element known as RtT RNA. The exact function of RtT is unknown although it is thought that it may be involved in changing the cellular response in relation to amino acid starvation. RNAcentral also lists the same sequence under 2 other names. The record is from RNAcentral. Lineage: Bacteria; Pseudomonadati; Pseudomonadota; Gammaproteobacteria; Enterobacterales; Enterobacteriaceae.
AUUCUACCCAUGUGGGGAAGGAUGAGAAGCUUCGACUAAGGUUCGAUUCGAGCGCAGCGAGAAAGCGUUGCCGCAGGCAACGACCCGAAGGGCGAA